Eriocheir sinensis (Chinese mitten crab) is the source of this 150-nucleotide long non-coding RNA. RefSeq lists it as uncharacterized. The transcript is spliced from 4 exons. The record is from RefSeq and is a predicted model, not a curated record. NCBI's taxonomy places the organism in Eukaryota, Metazoa, Arthropoda, Malacostraca, Decapoda, Varunidae.
GGUUACUAAAUAAAAGACAGGCAGUGUGAUUGAGGUUACUAAAUAAAAGACAGGCAGUGUGAUUGAGGUUACUAAAUAAGAGACAGGUAGUGUGAUUGAGGUUACUAAAUAAAAGACAGGCAGUGUGAUUGAGGUUACUAAAUAAGAGAC